Molecule: non-coding RNA, 82 nt
Organism: Echinostoma caproni
Lineage: Eukaryota; Metazoa; Platyhelminthes; Trematoda; Plagiorchiida; Echinostomatidae
Source: Rfam
GGCCUUGUAGCUCAGCUGGUAGAGCAUACGCGUACACAAUGUAGGCGGUGUCCAUUCGUGGGUUCGAAUCCCACCGAGGCUA